UACGGGGGGGGCAAGCGUUGUUCGGAAUUACUGGGCGUAAAGGGCUCGUAGGCGGCCAACUAAGUCAGACGUGAAAUCCCUCAGCUUAACUGGGGAACUGCGUCUGAUACUGGAUGGCUUGGAUUCGGGAGAGGAAUGCGGAAUUCCAGGUGUAGCGGUGAAAUGCGUAGAUAUCUGGAGGAACACCGGUGGCGAAGGCGGCAUCCUGGACCGACAUUGACGCUGAGGAGCGAAAGCUAGGGGAGCAAACGGG
This 253-nucleotide ribosomal RNA is filed under the name uncultured bacterium. Its description in RNAcentral is "partial 16S ribosomal RNA". It matches the Rfam family "Bacterial small subunit ribosomal RNA", at positions 524 to 776 of the family's 1533-position model. The record is from RNAcentral.